UGGCGAACGGGUGAGUAAUGCGUGAGCAACCUGCCUUUCAGAGGGGGACAACAGCUGGAAACGGCUGCUAAUACCGCAUAACACAUCGGGGUGGCAUCACCCUGGUGUCAAAGGAGCAAUCCGCUGAGAGAUGGGCUCACGUCUGAUUAGCUGGUUGGUGAGGUAACGGCUCACCAAGGCGACGAUCAGUAGCCGGUCUGAGAGGAUGAACGGCCACAUUGGGACUGAGAUACGGCCCAGACUCCUACGGGAGGCAGCAGUGGGGAAUAUUGGGCAAUGGGCGAAAGCCUGACCCAGCAACGCCGCGUGAAGGAAGAAGGCUUUCGGGUUGUAAACUUCUUUUAUCAGGGACGAAGGAUGUGACGGUACCUGAUGAAUAAGCCACGGCUAACUACGUGCCAGCAGCCGCGGUAAUACGUAGG
This 422-nucleotide ribosomal RNA is filed under the name uncultured bacterium. RNAcentral's name for it is "bacterial SSU rRNA". It matches the Rfam family "Bacterial small subunit ribosomal RNA", at positions 96 to 531 of the family's 1533-position model. The record is from RNAcentral.